This 239-nucleotide ribosomal RNA is filed under the name uncultured bacterium. RNAcentral describes it as "partial 16S ribosomal RNA". It matches the Rfam family "Bacterial small subunit ribosomal RNA", at positions 95 to 334 of the family's 1533-position model. The record is from RNAcentral.
CCGGCGCACGGGUGAGUAACGCGUAUCCAACCUGCCGUCUACUCUUGGACAGCCUUCUGAAAGGAAGAUUAAUACAAGAUGGCAUCAUGAGUCCGCAUGUUCACAUGAUUAAAGGUAUUCCGGUAGACGAUGGGGAUGCGUUCCAUUAGAUAGUAGGCGGGGUAACGGCCCACCUAGUCUUCGAUGGAUAGGGGUUCUAAGAGGAAGGUCCCCCACAUUGGAACUGAGACACGGUCCAA